AAAAAUACAAACGAGUGGAUAUUCGAGCCAUUAAGAACUGGGCUCGUCAGAUCUUACAAGGCCUUGUGUAUCUACAUGGCCAUGAUCCUCCAGUAAUUCAUAGAGAUCUGAAAUGUGACAACAUCUUUGUCAACGGCCAUCUUGGACAGGUCAAAAUUGGUGAUCUUGGCCUUGCAGCAAUCCUUCGUGGCUCCAAAUCAGCACAUAGUGUCAUAGGCACCCCAGAGUUCAUGGCACCAGAAUUAUAUGAGGAGGAGUACAAUGAGCUUGUUGAUGUUUACUCAUUUGGCAUGUGUGUUUUAGAGAUGCUCACAUCUGAAUACCCUUAUAGUGAAUGUGUUAACCCAGCACAAAUUUACAAGAAAGUGACUUCGGGGAAGCU
RNAcentral lists this unclassified non-coding RNA (382 nucleotides) under Hevea brasiliensis (rubber tree). The record is from RNAcentral. Lineage: Eukaryota; Viridiplantae; Streptophyta; Magnoliopsida; Malpighiales; Euphorbiaceae.